UGAGUAACACGUGGGUAACCUGCCCAUCAGAAGGGGAUAACACUUGGAAACAGGUGCUAAUACCGUAUAACAAUCGAAACCGCAUGGUUUUGAUUUGAAAGGCGCUUUCGGGUGUCGCUGAUGGAUGGACCCGCGGUGCAUUAGCUAGUUGGUGAGGUAACGGCUCACCAAGGCCACGAUGCAUAGCCGACCUGAGAGGGUGAUCGGCCACAUUGGGACUGAGACACGGCCCAAACUCCUACGGGAGGCAGCAGUAGGGAAUCUUCGGCAAUGGACGAAAGUCUGACCGAGCAACGCCGCGUGAGUGAAGAAGGUUUUCGGAUCGUAAAACUCUGUUGUUAGAGAAGAACAAGGAUGAGAGUAACUGUUCAUCCCUUGACGGUAUCUAACCAGAAAGCCACGGCUAACUACGUGCCAGCAGCCGCGGUAAUACGUAGGUGGCAAGCGUUGUCCGGAUUUAUUGGGCGUAAAGCGAGCGCAG
RNAcentral lists this ribosomal RNA (481 nucleotides) under Enterococcus durans. RNAcentral's name for it is "bacterial SSU rRNA". It matches the Rfam family "Bacterial small subunit ribosomal RNA", at positions 107 to 574 of the family's 1533-position model. Lineage: Bacteria; Bacillati; Bacillota; Bacilli; Lactobacillales; Enterococcaceae. The record is from RNAcentral.